AGUCGAGCGAACAGACGAGGAGCUUGCUCCUCUGACGUUAGCGGCGGACGGGUGAGUAACACGUGGAUAACCUACCUAUAAGACUGGGAUAACUUCGGGAAACCGGAGCUAAUACCGGAUAAUAUAUUGAACCGCAUGGUUCAAUAGUGAAAGACGGUUUUGCUGUCACUUAUAGAUGGAUCCGCGCCGCAUUAGCUAGUUGGUAAGGUAACGGCUUACCAAGGCAACGAUGCGUAGCCGACCUGAGAGGGUGAUCGGCCACACUGGAACUGAGACACGGUCCAGACUCCUACGGGAGGCAGCAGUAGGGAAUCUUCCGCAAUGGGCGAAAGCCUGACGGAGCAACGCCGCGUGAAUGAUGAAGGUCUUCGGAUCGUAAAACUCUGUUAUUAGGGAAGAACAAAUGUGUAAGUAACUAUGCACGUCUUGACGGUACCUAAUCAGAAAGCCACGGCUAACUACGUGCCAGCAGCCGCGGUAAUACGUAGGUGGCAAGCGUUAUCCGGAAUUAUUGGGCGUAAAGCGCGCGUAGGCGGUUUUUUAAGUCUGAUGUGAAAGCCCACGGCUCAACCGUGGAGGGUCAUUGGAAACUGGAAAACUUGAGUGCAGAAGAGGAAAGUGGAAUUCCAUGUGUAGCGGUGAAAUGCGCAGAGAUAUGGAGGAACACCAGUGGCGAA
RNAcentral lists this ribosomal RNA (677 nucleotides) under uncultured Staphylococcus sp. RNAcentral describes it as "bacterial SSU rRNA". It matches the Rfam family "Bacterial small subunit ribosomal RNA", at positions 60 to 719 of the family's 1533-position model. Lineage: Bacteria; Bacillati; Bacillota; Bacilli; Caryophanales; Staphylococcaceae. The record is from RNAcentral.